Molecule: ribosomal RNA, 253 nt
Filed under: uncultured bacterium
Lineage: Bacteria
Description: partial 16S ribosomal RNA
Rfam family: Archaeal small subunit ribosomal RNA
Source: RNAcentral
UACCAGCACCCCGAGCGGUCGGGACGAUUAUUGGGCCUAAAGCAUCCGUAGCCGGUCCUGCAAGUCUUCCGUUAAAUCCAGCUGCUCAACAGAUGGGCUGCGGGGGAUACUACAUGGCUAGGAGGCGGGAGAGGCAAGCGGUACUUUAUGGGUAGGGGUAAAAUCCGUUGAUCCAUAGAAGACCACCAGUGGCGAAGGCGGCUUGCCAGAACGUGCUCGACGGUGAGGGAUGAAAGCUGGGGGAGCAAACCGG